This 382-nucleotide ribosomal RNA is filed under the name uncultured bacterium. Its description in RNAcentral is "bacterial SSU rRNA". It matches the Rfam family "Bacterial small subunit ribosomal RNA", at positions 30 to 408 of the family's 1533-position model. The record is from RNAcentral.
AUUGAACGCUGGCGGCAUGCCUUACACAUGCAAGUCGAACGGCAGCACGGGAGCAAUCCUGGUGGCGAGUGGCGAACGGGUGAGUAAUAUAUCGGAACGUGCCCAGUCGUGGGGAUAACGUAGCGAAAGCUACGCUAAUACCGCAUACGAUCUAUGGAUGAAAGCGGGGGAUCGCAAGACCUCGCGCGAUUGGAGCGGCCGAUAUCAGAUUAGGUAGUUGGUGAGGUAAAGGCUCACCAAGCCGACGAUCUGUAGCUGGUCUGAGAGGACGACCAGCCACACUGGGACUGAGACACGGCCCAGACUCCUACGGGAGGCAGCAGUGGGGAAUUUUGGACAAUGGGCGCGAACGGACCUCGAUCCAGCAAUGCCGCGUGCAGGA